UAAGUUUCAAGCGUAACCCAGAUGUAUCCUGAUGAGCCCUGGUGUUACGUCUCACUGUCCAUGCUGCAGGCAGGCACUUCAUUCCAACCCCAAGCUACACUCAAAUGGACUCCAAGUUCCUGAUCAUAUUGGGCUACCAAAUUAACCUUUUCUGAUUUUUUUCUUUCUAUUUUUAUCUUUCUCAUUCCCCUGCCAAAAAUCAUUAAACGGUGACUUUGGUGCUGAGUUCUGCCUAGUAAGUGCUGGUUAGGAUGAGACAUGAGACAUUCUGGUAAUGGUGAAUCAGAACUGGCAGGCUGCAGAGGGGUGAAGGAUGUUUUGUCUGUAGCAGGGAAUUAUUGCAAGAGCAAACGGGUCAUAGAUGACCACACAUGCUGCCCCUGGCACAUCCUGGGACCCACCAAAGGAGCCCAGCCCCAUGAGUGAUGGCCAAGGCAUUUCUUCCGGUGAGGACCUAGGAGAGCAGAAAAGACCCUCAGCCCAGUUUGCAGGAAAUGAAUUUUUAGAGGAGGAAAUUGUCCAAGUGAUAGGGUAAUGAAGAAGGAAACCUCUUUUUCUAGCAGCCAGGAUUUUGUUCGUGUGGGUUUUACAAGGACCAGUUAGAACUCUGCCAAAGAGAGUGCACAUUCCUGGACAACCCAGAAACGUGGACACUCUGAGUAAAAGAGCAACAAACUCCAGCAGCAGUGACAGUUGGGAGUUUGCUGGAAGACAGAGGCCCUACGCAGGGCCCAGGGGCAGGAGCUUGAGUCCUGGGGCACAGACUCAAGCUCCGGCAGGUAAGGUCACUUCUCUGAGCCUGUGUCGAUACAAAUGUGAUUGACAAUAUCACUAUUCCUGCCUCCUGGGGCUGGGAAUGUUGUAGAAACCAAGUGAGAUCAUGUAAGUGAUGCCCUUUGAAAAGUUUAAUAAGAAUGCCAGAUGUUUCCUCCCCCAUAAAAUCUUUGGUGUCUUUCUUGGUAGGCACAAAAAUUCAAUCAGGUUUAAAAGAAUGGGAUCCUGGAAAGUCAAAAUCUGAAAAAUGCUAGUUGUGGCAUGAGUGUAGAUUCUGAAGUUCUGAUCCAAACUGCAGACAAGCUCUUUUACCCUUUGCCACAUAUUAAAUAUGCUCAUCUUCACUUAUAUGUGUGUAUAUAUGUAUUAUAUAUACACACACACAUACGCACACACAUUUGGAGGGAGAGAAGGCCUUUUGGGCAUGGCCCCUGUGCAGUAACUUGGUACUGCAUAUCUGCAAAUGCAGUAAACUCUGUGUGUGCGAUAUGAAUACAUUAGACUAGGAGUUACCACAAGGACAGAGUUAGGUGCACAAACUUCAGAAUUUUAAUUUCAUACAUUAUUGCUGGACAUGUAAAUUGAUGUGAUCUUUCUAGACAGCAGUAGAUAAUUUGCAUUGAGAGCCAUAAUAAUGUUCCUGUGGAUAAACAAAACGAGGCAUAUACAUACAAGGGAAUAUUAUUCAGCCUUAAAAAAAAAACACAAGAAAUUCUGACACAUACUCUGACAUGGAUGAA
Microcebus murinus (gray mouse lemur) is the source of this 1514-nucleotide non-coding RNA. NCBI's taxonomy places the organism in Eukaryota, Metazoa, Chordata, Mammalia, Primates, Cheirogaleidae. The record is from RefSeq and is a predicted model, not a curated record.